This 253-nucleotide ribosomal RNA is filed under the name uncultured prokaryote. RNAcentral describes it as "partial 16S ribosomal RNA". It matches the Rfam family "Bacterial small subunit ribosomal RNA", at positions 525 to 777 of the family's 1533-position model. The record is from RNAcentral.
ACGGAGGGUGCAAGCGUUAUCCGGAUUCACUGGGUUUAAAGGGUGUGUAGGCGGGUAUUUAAGUCAGUGGUGAAAUCUCCGGGCUCAACCCGGAAACUGCCAUUGAUACUAUUUAUCUUGAAUUCUGUUGAGGUAGGCGGAAUACAUCAUGUAGCGGUGAAAUGCUUAGAUAUGAUGUAGAACACCGAUUGCGAAGGCAGCUUACUAAGCAGACAUUGACGCUGAGGCACGAAAGCGUGGGGAUCAAACAGGA